AUACAGGGGGUGCGAGCGUUAAUCGGAAUUACUGGGCGUAAAGAGUACGUAGGCGGUUGCUUAAGUCAGAUGUGAAAGCCCCGGGCUCAACCUGGGAACUGCAUUUGAAACUGAGUGACUAGAGUUUAAGAGAGGGGAGUAGAAUUCCGGGUGUAGCGGCGAAAUGCGUAGAGAUCCGGAGGAAUACCAGUGGCGAAGGCGGCUCCCUGGCUUAAAACUGACGCUGAGGUACGAAAGCGUGGGUAGCAAACAGGAUUAGAAACCCUAGUAGUCC
Molecule: ribosomal RNA, 274 nt
Filed under: uncultured bacterium
Lineage: Bacteria
Description: partial 16S ribosomal RNA
Rfam family: Bacterial small subunit ribosomal RNA
Source: RNAcentral